CCCCAGGCUUUGGGAUAACCCCGGGAAACCGGGGCUAAUACCGAAUAUGACCUCCGAUCGCAUGGUUGGUGGUGGAAAGUUUUUCGGCUUGGGAUGGGCUCGCGGCCUAUCAGCUUGUUGGUGGGGUGAUGGCCUACCAAGGCGACGACGGGUAGCCGGCCUGAGAGGGCGACCGGCCACACUGGGACUGAGACACGGCCCAGACUCCUACGGGAGGCAGCAGUGGGGAAUAUUGCACAAUGGGCGGAAGCCUGAUGCAGCGACGCCGCGUGAGGGAUGACGGCCUUCGGGUUGUAAACCUCUUUCAGCAGGGACGAAGCGUAAGUGACGGUACCUGCAGAAGAAGCGCCGGCCAACUACGUGCCAGCAGCCGCGGUAAGACGUAGGGCGCGAGCGUUGUCCGGAUUUAUUGGGCGUAAAGAGCUCGUAGGCGGCUUGUCGCGUCGACCGUGAAAACCUGGGGCUCAAACCCAGGCCUGCGGUCGAUACGGGCAGGCUAGAGUUCGGUAGGGGAGACUGGAAUUCCUGGUGUAGCGGUGAAAUGCGCAGAUAUCAGGAGGAACACCGGUGGCGAAGGCGGGUCUCUGGGCCGAUACUGACGCUGAGGAGCGAAAGCGUGGGGAGCGAACAGGAUUAGAUACCCUGGUAGUCCACGCUGUAAACGUUGGGCGCUAGGUGUGGGGGGCCUCUCCGGUUCCCUGUGCCGCAGCUAACGCAUUAAGCGCCCCGCCUGGGGAGUACGGCCGCAAGGCUAAAACUCAAAGGAAUUGACGGGGGCC
RNAcentral lists this ribosomal RNA (779 nucleotides) under Micromonospora maritima. Its description in RNAcentral is "bacterial SSU rRNA". It matches the Rfam family "Bacterial small subunit ribosomal RNA", at positions 129 to 921 of the family's 1533-position model. The record is from RNAcentral. Lineage: Bacteria; Bacillati; Actinomycetota; Actinomycetes; Micromonosporales; Micromonosporaceae.